GGUGAUGUGGCUCAGUGAUAGAACGUCUGCUUGGCAUGCAGAAGGCCCCAAGUUCAGUCCCUGGCAUCUCCA
This 72-nucleotide transfer RNA is filed under the name Sphaerodactylus townsendi. RNAcentral's name for it is "tRNA-Ala". It matches the Rfam family "tRNA". From Rfam's summary of the family: Transfer RNA (tRNA) molecules are approximately 80 nucleotides in length. Their secondary structure includes four short double-helical elements and three loops (D, anti-codon, and T loops). Further hydrogen bonds mediate the characteristic L-shaped molecular structure. tRNAs have two regions of fundamental functional importance: the anti-codon, which is responsible for specific mRNA codon recognition, and the 3' end, to which the tRNAs corresponding amino acid is attached (by aminoacyl-tRNA synthetases). tRNAs cope with the degeneracy of the genetic code in two manners: having more than one tRNA (with a specific anti-codon) for a particular amino acid; and 'wobble' base-pairing, i.e. permitting non-standard base-pairing at the 3rd anti-codon position. Lineage: Eukaryota; Metazoa; Chordata; Lepidosauria; Squamata; Sphaerodactylidae. The record is from RNAcentral.